GGAAUGAGAACACUCUAAAUCCUUUAACGAAAAUCUAUUGGAAGGCAAGUCUGGUGCCAGCAGCUGCGGUAAUUCCAGCUCCAAUAGCGUAUAUUAAAGUUGUUGCGGUUAAAAAGCUCGUAGUUGGUUCUGCGUGCCACGCUGUCGGUUCACCGCCUGCCGGUGCAACUGGCAUGCCGUGGCAUGUCCUGUCGGUGGCGGAUAGGCCCCGCUGGCCGCCCUGUGCGGUUUAUACCUGCGCAGGUAGUGGGCAGAGGGUGUCCUUGUACGCCGGCUCAAUCCUACCGCGGUGCUCUUCACCGAGUGUCGAGGUAGGCCGACACUGUUUACUUUGAACAAAUUAGAGUGCUUAAAGCAGGCUCUUAAAUCAGCCUGAAUAGUGGUGCAUGGAAUAAUGGAACAGGACCUUGGUUCUAUUUUGUUGGUUUUCGGAAUCCAAGGUAAUGAUCAAUAAGGACAGGCGGGGGCAUUCGUAUUGCGACGUUAGAGGUGAAAUUCUUGGAUCGUCGCAAGACGCACUAAAGCGAAAGCAUUUGCCAAGUAUGUCUUAAUUGAUCAAGAACGAAAGUUAGAGGCUCGAAGGCGAUCAGAUACCGCCCUAGUUCUAACCAUAAACGAUGCCAGCCAGCGAUCCGCCGACGUUCCUCCGAUGACUCGGCGGGGAGCUUUCCCCGGGAAACCAAAGCUUUUGGGUUCCGGGGGAAGUAUGGUUGCAAAGCUGAAACUUAAAGGAAUUGACGGAAGGGCACUACCAGGAGUGGAGCCUGCGGUUUAAUUUGACUCAACACGGGAAAGCUCACCAGGCCCGGACAUUGGAAGGAUUGACAGAUCGAUAGCUCUUUCUCGAUUCAUUGGGUAGUGGUGCAUGGCCGUUCGUGGUUGGUGGACUGAUUUGUCUGGUUAAUUCUGAUAACGAACGAGACUCUAACCUAUUAACUAGACGAUAUACCGGUAUAAAAACCCUACCGGCGAGAUUUAUUCUUCUUAA
This 988-nucleotide ribosomal RNA is filed under the name Paraeucosmetus pallicornis. RNAcentral's name for it is "SSU rRNA". It matches the Rfam family "Eukaryotic small subunit ribosomal RNA", at positions 511 to 1414 of the family's 1831-position model. Lineage: Eukaryota; Metazoa; Arthropoda; Insecta; Hemiptera; Rhyparochromidae. The record is from RNAcentral.